Molecule: ribosomal RNA, 1433 nt
Filed under: metagenome
Description: bacterial SSU rRNA
Rfam family: Archaeal small subunit ribosomal RNA
Source: RNAcentral
UCCCAUUGAUCCUGUGGGAGGUUGCUGCUAUUGGGUUUCGACUAAGCCAUGCAAGUCAAGGGGACUCUUCGGAGUUACCGGCAGACUGCUCAGUAACACGUUAAUAAUCUGUCCUUAGAUCUAGAAUAACUUCGGGAAACUGAGGCUAAUACUGGAUAGGAUAAUAAUACUGGAAUGUGUAUUUUCUUAAAGCUUCGGCGUCUAAGGGUGAGUUAGCGGAUGAUUAGGUUGAUGGUGGGGUAAAGGCCCACCAUGCCUUUGAUCAGUAGGGGCCUUGAGAGAGGGAGCCCCGAGAGGGACACUGAGAUACUGGUCCCAGCCCUACGGGGUGCAGCAGGCGCGAAACCUUUACACUGCACGAAAGUGUGAUAAGGGAAACCCGAGUGCUUACACUCUGUGUAGGUUUUUGCUAAGAGUAAAUAUCUUGGCGAAUAAGUGGUGGGAAAGACUGGUGCCAGCCGCCGCGGUAAUACCAGCGCCACGAGUGGGAACCACGUUUAUUGGGCCUAAAGCGUCCGUAGCCGGUUUGUUAAAUUUUUUGUGAAAUCGCAAGGCUUAACUUUGCGGCAUGCAGAAAAGACUGGCAAACUUGGAACCGGGAGGAGUUAGAAGUAUUCAAGGGGUAGCGGUAAAAUGUUCUGAUCCUUUGAAGACUACCUGUGGCGAAGGCGUCUAACUAGAACGGAUUCGACGGUGAGGGACGAAAGCCAGGGGAGCAAAACGGAUUAGAUACCCGAGUAGUCCUGGCCGUAAACUCUGUGAGCUAGGCGUUGCACUUGCUUCGGGCAAGUGCAGUGUCGAAAUGAAGAUGUUAAGCUCACCGCCUGGGAAGUACGGUCGCAAGACUGAAACUUAAAGGAAUUGGCGGGGGCUCACUACAAGGCGUGCGGCGUGCGGUUUAAUCCAAUUCAACGCGGAGAAUCUCACCAGGUGCGACGGCAGGAUGAAAGUCAGAUUAAAGGUCUUACUUGACGAGCCGAGAGGUAGUGCAUGGCCGCCGUCAGCUCGUGCCGCAAGGUGUCUUGUUAAGUCAAGAAACGAGCAAGACCUGUGCUUAUAAUUGCUAACGAUCUUUGAGUUCGAGCACAUUAUAAGGACUGCCUUCGAAAGGAGGAGGAAGGUGCAGGCAACGGUAGGUCUGUAUGCUCCGAAUCUUCUGGGCUACACGCGCGCAACAAUGGUUAAGACAAAGGGCUGCAACUCUGAAAAGAGAAGCUAAUCCCCAAACUUAAUCUAAGUCCAGAUUGAGGAUUGUAACUCAUCCUCAUGACGAUGGAAUGCCUAGUAAUCAGAAGUUAUCAUCUUCUGGUGAACAUGUCCCUGAGCCUUGCACACACCGCCCGUCAUCUCAUCCGAGUAGGGUUUAGAUGAGGCUGUUCUUUUAGGAUGGUCGAAUCUAAGCUUUGUGAGGAGGGGCAAGUCGUCACAAGGUA